GCCUCCCCGGCUGCUCGCAGCUCAAACAGCACAGUGAAGGACGGUGCAGGAGAGGUGGCUGAGACACGAGCUGGUGGAGGCAGCAGCAGGAGGAGGAGGAGGAGAGCUGUGGAGGCGAUACAGACACGCUUCACCUGAGCCCUCACUUCCAGGGCGACCCGUGCGGCUGACGAGCGGCAUCCUUUUUAUUUUGGAGGUCACUUUGGGGGAACUGAGACGAGGAGGAGCUGCAGCCGUGUGUGUUCGCUGAGCUCUUUAUAUUGUAUUUUCUUUCUUGUGCGUUCUUCAGCAGCAUGAUGGAUGUGUUGAUGUGAAAAACACAUCAGGGGCUCCACUUAGAAUGAAUAAAUUACAUUGAUAAAUAUG
This is a long non-coding RNA of Acanthopagrus latus (yellowfin seabream), 366 nucleotides long. RefSeq lists it as uncharacterized. The record is from RefSeq and is a predicted model, not a curated record. The transcript is spliced from 2 exons. NCBI's taxonomy places the organism in Eukaryota, Metazoa, Chordata, Actinopteri, Spariformes, Sparidae.